RNAcentral lists this ribosomal RNA (253 nucleotides) under uncultured bacterium. RNAcentral describes it as "partial 16S ribosomal RNA". It matches the Rfam family "Bacterial small subunit ribosomal RNA", at positions 524 to 776 of the family's 1533-position model. The record is from RNAcentral.
UAUGUAGGGGGCGAGCGUUGUCCGGAUUUAUUGGGCGUAAAGAGCGUGUAGGCGGCCAGGUAGGUCUGCUGUGAAAACUCGAGGCUCAACCUCGAGACGUCGGCGGAAACCAUCUGGCUAGAGUCCGGAAGAGGAGAGUGGAAUUCCUGGUGUAGCGGUGAAAUGCGCAGAUAUCAGGAAGAACACCCGUGGCGAAGGCGGCUCUCUGGGACGGUACUGACGCUGAGACGCGAAAGCGUGGGGAGCGAACAGG